GAUUAACGCUAGCGGCAGGCAUAAUACAUGCAAGUUGAACGGCAGCACAGGUAGCACUACUGGGUGGCGAGUGGCGCACGGGUGCGUAACACGUAUGCAACCUACCCUAUACAGGCGAAUAACCUUUAGAAAUGAGGGCUAAUACGCCGUAGUAUUACAGAUGGGCAUCUAUUUGUAAUUAAAGAUUUAUCGGUAUAGGAUGGGCAUGCGUCCCAUUAGUUAGUUGGUAAGGUAACGGCUUACCAAGACGAUGAUGGGUAGGGGAUCUGAGGGGACUUACCCCCACACGGGUACUGGGACACGGACCAGACUCCUACGGGAGGCAGCAGUAAGGAAGAUUGGGCAAUGGCCGCGAGGCUGACCCAGCCAUGCCGCGUGCAGGAAGACGGCCUUAUGGGUUGUAAACUGCUUUUAUACGGGAAUAAUAGAGUGUACGCGUACAUUUAUGCAAGUAUCGUAUGAAUAAGCAUCGGCUAACUCCGUG
Molecule: ribosomal RNA, 484 nt
Filed under: uncultured bacterium
Lineage: Bacteria
Description: partial 16S ribosomal RNA
Rfam family: Bacterial small subunit ribosomal RNA
Source: RNAcentral